UGGGGUGUGGCCAAGCGGUAAGGCGCCUGACUCUGGAUCAGGAGAUCGAAGGUUCGAAUCCUUCCGCCCCAGCCA
RNAcentral lists this transfer RNA (75 nucleotides) under Solirubrobacterales bacterium. RNAcentral describes it as "tRNA-Gln". It matches the Rfam family "tRNA". From Rfam's summary of the family: Transfer RNA (tRNA) molecules are approximately 80 nucleotides in length. Their secondary structure includes four short double-helical elements and three loops (D, anti-codon, and T loops). Lineage: Bacteria; Bacillati; Actinomycetota; Thermoleophilia; Solirubrobacterales. The record is from RNAcentral. RNAcentral also lists the same sequence under 8 other names.